RNAcentral lists this ribosomal RNA (1873 nucleotides) under Staphylococcus aureus. RNAcentral describes it as "partial 23S ribosomal RNA". It matches the Rfam family "Bacterial large subunit ribosomal RNA", at positions 1 to 1872 of the family's 2925-position model. Lineage: Bacteria; Bacillati; Bacillota; Bacilli; Caryophanales; Staphylococcaceae. The record is from RNAcentral.
GAUUAAGUUAUUAAGGGCGCACGGUGGAUGCCUUGGCACUAGAAGCCGAUGAAGGACGUUACUAACGACGAUAUGCUUUGGGGAGCUGUAAGUAAGCUUUGAUCCAGAGAUUUCCGAAUGGGGAAACCCAGCAUGAGUUAUGUCAUGUUAUCGAUAUGUGAAUACAUAGCAUAUCAGAAGGCACACCCGGAGAACUGAAACAUCUUAGUACCCGGAGGAAGAGAAAGAAAAUUCGAUUCCCUUAGUAGCGGCGAGCGAAACGGGAAGAGCCCAAACCAACAAGCUUGCUUGUUGGGGUUGUAGGACACUCUAUACGGAGUUACAAAGGACGACAUUAGACGAAUCAUCUGGAAAGAUGAAUCAAAGAAGGUAAUAAUCCUGUAGUCGAAAAUGUUGUCUCUCUUGAGUGGAUCCUGAGUACGACGGAGCACGUGAAAUUCCGUCGGAAUCUGGGAGGACCAUCUCCUAAGGCUAAAUACUCUCUAGUGACCGAUAGUGAACCAGUACCGUGAGGGAAAGGUGAAAAGCACCCCGGAAGGGGAGUGAAAUAGAACCUGAAACCGUGUGCUUACAAGUAGUCAGAGCCCGUUAAUGGGUGAUGGCGUGCCUUUUGUAGAAUGAACCGGCGAGUUACGAUUUGAUGCAAGGUUAAGCAGUAAAUGUGGAGCCGUAGCGAAAGCGAGUCUGAAUAGGGCGUUUAGUAUUUGGUCGUAGACCCGAAACCAGGUGAUCUACCCUUGGUCAGGUUGAAGUUCAGGUAACACUGAAUGGAGGACCGAACCGACUUACGUUGAAAAGUGAGCGGAUGAACUGAGGGUAGCGGAGAAAUUCCAAUCGAACCUGGAGAUAGCUGGUUCUCUCCGAAAUAGCUUUAGGGCUAGCCUCAAGUGAUGAUUAUUGGAGGUAGAGCACUGUUUGGACGAGGGGCCCCUCUCGGGUUACCGAAUUCAGACAAACUCCGAAUGCCAAUUAAUUUAACUUGGGAGUCAGAACAUGGGUGAUAAGGUCCGUGUUCGAAAGGGAAACAGCCCAGACCACCAGCUAAGGUCCCAAAAUAUAUGUUAAGUGGAAAAGGAUGUGGCGUUGCCCAGACAACUAGGAUGUUGGCUUAGAAGCAGCCAUCAUUUAAAGAGUGCGUAAUAGCUCACUAGUCGAGUGACACUGCGCCGAAAAUGUACCGGGGCUAAACAUAUUACCGAAGCUGUGGAUUGUCCUUUGGACAAUGGUAGGAGAGCGUUCUAAGGGCGUUGAAGCAUGAUCGUAAGGACAUGUGGAGCGCUUAGAAGUGAGAAUGCCGGUGUGAGUAGCGAAAGACGGGUGAGAAUCCCGUCCACCGAUUGACUAAGGUUUCCAGAGGAAGGCUCGUCCGCUCUGGGUUAGUCGGGUCCUAAGCUGAGGCCGACAGGCGUAGGCGAUGGAUAACAGGUUGAUAUUCCUGUACCACCUAUAAUCGUUUUAAUCGAUGGGGGGACGCAGUAGGAUAGGCGAAGCGUGCGAUUGGAUUGCACGUCUAAGCAGUAAGGCUGAGUAUUAGGCAAAUCCGGUACUCGUUAAGGCUGAGCUGUGAUGGGGAGAAGACAUUGUGUCUUCGAGUCGUUGAUUUCACACUGCCGAGAAAAGCCUCUAGAUAGAAAAUAGGUGCCCGUACCGCAAACCGACACAGGUAGUCAAGAUGAGAAUUCUAAGGUGAGCGAGCGAACUCUCGUUAAGGAACUCGGCAAAAUGACCCCGUAACUUCGGGAGAAGGGGUGCUCUUUAGGGUUAACGCCCAGAAGAGCCGCAGUGAAUAGGCCCAAGCGACUGUUUAUCAAAAACACAGGUCUCUGCUAAACCGUAAGGUGAUGUAUAGGGGCUGACGCCUGCCCGGUGCUGG